UCCCCUCACGGCUGAACAAGCUGAUCUUUUUAGUUCCUAGUUAGCAGGGCAACGAUGGCAGAGAGCGGUUACGAGUCGGUGAUAUGUGUAAAGCCGGAGGUGCACGUCUACCGCAUCCCGCCGAGGGCGACGAACCGGGGCUACAGGGCUGCAGACUGGAAGCUGGAUCAGCCGUCAUGGAGUGGGAGAAUGAGGAUAACAGCGAAGGGGAAGAUUGCAUACAUUAAACUGGAGGAUAAAACAUCAGGGGAGCUGUUUGCCCAGGCACCAGUAGAGCAGUACCCAGGGAUCUCGGUGGAGAGUGUCACUGACUCCAGCAGAUACUUUGUCGUUCGCAUCGAAGAUGGAAACGGACGGCACGCUUUUAUUGGGAUUGGAUUUGUGGAUCGAGGGGAUUCCUUCGACUUUAACGUAGCGCUUCAGGAUCAUUUCAAAUGGGUGCGGCAGGAGGGAGAGCUGGCCAAGCAAGCGCAGAGCGGGGAGAACGCUGGCCCCAAACUGGACCUCGGCUUCAAGGAGGGACAGACAAUCAAAAUCAACAUCGGGAAUAUAAAGAAAAAAGAAGAAAAAACAUCCAAGUCCCGACCAGCAGGCAGUGGCUUUUUACCCCCUCCCCCUGGUGGCAAGGGUCUUGGUAUGAUCCCACCUCCAGCGAGCCAACCCCCUGGACUCAUUCAGCCCCCUCUAUCUCAGCCGCCACUGACGUCUUCAGCGCCGCGAGUAAAAGCCAUACAAAAUGAUAUCCGUGAUUCCAAAGGAGACAAACAGAGACUACUUGAAACCAACCCGUUCAGACAUGCUUUUUGAUCGCAGCCCCCCAGCCCCCUCCAGCAGUGGGACUGAUUUGUGGGGUGACUUCGCUGCUGCCCCCAGCUCAGCUCCUGGUCAGACCCCUAAGACUCCAAACUGGGUCCAGUUUUAAUGGAUCCCAGAUUUCCAGGUUCCUCGCCACCUUCCCAGGAUGAGGGGCUCGUUUGCAGUGAGGACCAGCAUUUUUACUGCUGGUCGGCGCUGUGGGAUUGGGGAUCAGAUUUGGAGCACUUCUAUUCUGGUAUUGCUCCAGUUAAGUUGGUGUUCACUUUUGUGUUUUACAUGGUCCAGCCUAAACCGAAUCUGUAGUUCAAAGGAGAAGUUCACUUUCUACUAUAAAUCAAGGUAAAACGAGUCCUGGGGAAAAAGUUUAGGAAGAUAUCAUCUGGAAAAAUGCAUUGCAUAAUACAAAUAUAGACCAGCCAGUAUCACUUCGUGGAAAUGUUCCCUCUUCCAACUAAAACUUUCAAUUAAAAUGAAUGAUUACCAAGCUUUUCUGCAGUCAUUUAACCCAGGAUACUUUCAGUCUGGAUCAGCAAUUGCAUUUUAUAUAGAAAACCAACACAGAGCGAACUGAACCAGCUUUGGCCCCAGAGUGAACCGAACCAGCUUUGGCCCCAGAGUGAACCAGUCCCAAUGGAACAGACGUCUUUAUUUCUCAGAUACUGGGAGUCUCUCUGCCGGUAUCUUAAUCCUGUUUCCCGAUUCCAGGGAAUUCCUUUAGCUUUCAUUCCAUCCCCACGUCCCUUUCCCAAAAAAACUAAAACAAUUUUACACAUGGACAUUACGGCUGUGGAUUGCGUAUUGUAUGCUCUCAAAACAUGAUCUGUGCAAGUUCAAAAUCGAUCUGUUAUAUUGAAGCUUUGAGUCCACUAAAAAUAAUCCAUUCUAAUGGUGUGAGACAGCUGUGUAUUCUAAAUUGACAUUAAAUAUAUUCAUGUAUAUCACAAUGCAUUUUAUAUAUAUUUUUUAUCUUCCAGAAUAUUUUUUGAAAUAUGCUGAAAUAUCUAAAAGUCAUAUGAAAUGUGUUAAUGUGUUUUUCUAUUUUUCUCCCUUGUGCGAGUAGCUCUCCAAGGCAGCGAUCUUUGAGCAUCACAGCACCUUAUCACGACUGUGUAAAAUGACAGUGUGUGUGUUUGUCUUGAAAUGUAUUGCAAAGAGGCUUAGGAAGGUAUUACACUUUCUAAGCUGAAAUAGUACUGAGGAUGCAAUUUAGUAUUCCAGGAAUGUGCAGUCCCCAGGCCUAAAGUAAGAGAUCUGUGUAUUGUAGAAACUGGAAACUAUACAAAUAAGCAAAUUAGAGGAAAACAUUAUAGGGUUUUUUUGGUUCAAUUUCUACUAAUACCUCUAACUACAGUAAAGCGUGGUUUGGGAUAGGCGCCACAAUGUGGGCUUUCCCUAAUGCAGUUCAGUGUCUCGAAUGAGCACAUCCAGUCUUAUCCCUUGUUUCGUACACCUUGCUUGUUAUUUUAUGGGGUUGGUGGGGAUCUUUGAAUUUCUUCCAAACCCUGCAACCUUAGCCCUUGCAAGUGCCUUUACUUUAUUUCAAUAGUAAAGCUGUGUUUCUGAAACAGUCUAAUCAGCCAUUUUUUAAUUAAACUAUUCCCAGACCCAGUCGUCCCUGUUUUUAAUAAUGGAAUUGGUGAUCUAAAUACUGCUACUGUUAAAAUAGGCCUGCUUGCCAAAGUUAUGAGAAGUGGUGUGCUUUUGGGUGUCGUCAGAGUGUUGUGUGUUUGUUUUUUCUUAUUAAAAAAAGAAAAAAGUUAAAUGGGACUUAAGAGAGGAAUUCUGCAGUAAAUUGAAUUUGCAUAGCAGUACCAGUGUUCUGUCCUGUACAUGACUUUUAUGAAGCUAUUUUUUAACGUAAAAAAACCCAAAGCUUGCAGCUACUUCUGAGGCCCACCAUUUAAAAAGUAGAACAUUCUGCAUGUUCCAAAAAAUCACUUUUAUUCUACAUUUGAGGUGUGCAGCCCAAUGCUUAGUCGUAAAUAAGUGGUAGAUUAUAAAAUUACUAUGCACUGACCCAUUUACUUUUUUUAUUUGACUCUAAAUGGCCUGUUUAUCUAUUCAUCCACGCCAUUCAUUCCCAAAUUCCAGUGACAGAUUUCAGUUUUGUUUUUUUUGUGGCGCUGCAGCUGAUGGACCAGCCAACACACAGCGUUGCACUAGAUUAUGUUUUUAUGUAUAUAUGUACAAUCCACUGAGUGCGGUGUGCAGCAGCGGUAAUGUGGGAGCUUGUUGUAAAAACAAUUUGUGGUUCUUCAUGUGUUGAAUAUUUAGCAGGCCAGCGCACUGGUUAACAGCCAGAUCAGAGUACCUUCCUGUGAAUGGAGCUCUGCACUAUCUCCUGUGUCCACGGUGUUCUGGCUCACUUUGUAAUGAUGUUGCAUUUUGUCAUGUGACCGGGUCUUAUAAGGAAUGUACCUGUUUCACAUUUGCAGUUUUAUCAAGAUCUUCUGAACGGCUUACUCAGUUGGAAUAACAUUUGAUGUAGGCAUUCCUUAGCACAAGUUAUUGAGGGUACAAGACUUUUUGAAUGGGUUCUGGGCUAAUGACUUCUGAAGUUAGUACCCAAAUGUCAUUUUGCGUGGACAUGCUACAGCCUGCUUGUCUGAGAAACUACUUUUCCAUUAUUGAUGUAACUACAGAACUUGUUUUGAGAUGCUUGUCAUGCUAUGGUUGUGUGAUUGAAUGUGAAUGUGAAGGCAGGUCCACUAAUGCUUUUUAAAUGCUCCUAUAAUAUGUUUUUUGUAACACAUUGUUCGUGAAGUUGGGCUUACUGGGUUGGGUGGGUGGGUUUGGGGGCUGUCUUUCUUACUCAAGUGCCUUUCAGGGGGGUUUUGCAUGGACUGUUAAAACCAGCUGCUGAACAUGAUACCAUAGGUUGUAAAUAAAGAAUGUUGUCUUACC
This is an RNA transcript of Polyodon spathula (Mississippi paddlefish), 3720 nucleotides long. It is a transcript of the gene named adaptin ear-binding coat-associated protein 1-like, with no coding region annotated. NCBI's taxonomy places the organism in Eukaryota, Metazoa, Chordata, Actinopteri, Acipenseriformes, Polyodontidae. The transcript is spliced from 9 exons. The record is from RefSeq and is a predicted model, not a curated record.